AAGUUUUUUUAGUUUAAUCGUUUCCAUAAAGUACACAUCAAAUCGUAAUUAUGUAGAACAACAAAAUUAUAGUUAAAUAUGACAUACUCUCUCUCUCUCUCUAAAAUUCUACAGAGCAUCAUUUCAUUAUUAUUAUUCAAACAAUAAAGACGUAUGGAGUUAAAAUAGUGAAAACUGUGUUUGAAAGCAACAAAGAACUAAUUGUUUUAAAUUUUAACGAAGCAAAAACAAUUCACAAAAUUGCAUCAAAUGUGGCAGUUGAUUUAUUGAACAACAACUUUAUAAUAAAUCCGGAUUUUUUCUUAUUAAUUUUGUAAUAAUUCAUAAAUAGCGUGGAUUUUGUUGUAGAAAUAAAACUGGCUGCUACAGGUUCCACUUCAAGUUCCCAAUCACCGCCAAAUUUUUCUUUGGACAACAUAUUUCUUAUAGAGGCUGCAAAACAUAUAUCGUAUCAGCCAGAAACUCCACCUGACGUCACAUACCAGAUUUUCCACUUGAUGCAAAGAACAUCCAACAACAAUCAACAUUAAAUUCAUAUGAAAUAGUUAAUGAAGAAAAUGCAUUUUUAAAGAACCAACAAGAGUUGACUGAUCUUCCUUCAACACAAGAAAUUAGACAACUAAAUGAAAUUAAGGAGGCACUGCAUAAUGAUAUUUUGGAAAAUAAACAUCUCACCAAUAUCGCCAAGUCAAUAAUAUCAUUAAUAUUAAAUCGUGAUCCCAACAGAGAGAUAGCACAGUGGGGCAGAAUCAAAAUUUGUUGGAAAUAAAUCUGGCAUUUCUAAACGGCUGAUCCGAUCGGGAUAAAAUUUGGCGUAAGCCUAGCCAAGGAGUAUCCGAGUUUAAGUUUUGAAGAUGAACCCUGCAGAUGUCCCAGGGACGGCGUUGUUGCGGCUCAAAGUAGGGUACCUACGACAUGUAAAAUUUUUAAACUCGGGCUUUUUUUUUUUUGUGUUUCACCCAAAUACAUUUAAAAAUUUAGUGGUACAAAAUUUACCACACCUUGAUCCGCUUUUUUUGAAUACCGGGCAUAAUUUUCGAAUCAAUUGUUAGUUAGACAACAAAAUUUCCAAUAAUAUACAAAAAAUUUCAGACCAAUAUCA
This is a long non-coding RNA of Lucilia cuprina (Australian sheep blowfly), 1102 nucleotides long. RefSeq lists it as uncharacterized. Lineage: Eukaryota; Metazoa; Arthropoda; Insecta; Diptera; Calliphoridae. The record is from RefSeq and is a predicted model, not a curated record. The transcript has 5 exons.